UAGUCAAUAUGGGAUCACUAUAGUGGAAUUGAUGGACUAAUCAGGGGAAGACACCUGUAAAGGGAAAGAAUCUUCUAGAAGGGAAAAAGGUUUUCUGUUAUAGGAAAGGAGGUCGUCUGGCAGGGUGGAGGGGAGGUACCUGGGCUGUUGGCAGGAGCUCUGGGCAGGCCGUUAGAGAUAUUUGGGAGAGGGGCAGAGAGCUUUGGGGAAGGGGGGAGGUUCCUGGAGCUGGAGAGGAGGAUAGUUUAGCUUGAGAAGCGAGGGAGGCAAGCGAGAAGAAGAGACAGAGCAUAUUUCUGGAGCUGGAGGGUGGUUUUGAGGUUGGUUUGAGAGAUAUUUUUGAGAAAAAAAGAGUCUGAGGGUAAGGAAGGAUCCAUAGUCUGGAGCAGGGAUCUUUGAGAGGGUAAAUGAGCAGUGGAGGGAUAUUUUCAGCUGGUUAGAGAGAGUUCAUGAAAGCUGUUUGAAGAAAGACACGGAGGAAUAGCCUUGGAAGAGGGUGAUACAGGUGAGCCAUGAAGGAUCAAUUGGCAGUUGAGAUGAACAUCCAUGCAAUUGAAGCCAUUAUCAUCAGCAAGCUUCCACUCCCAAACGACUUCAACUUUCCUCCACCAUUGCUCGUUGGAGUUGCCUUUGAGUCCGCACUUGAACUGGACCCAGAGGAGGAAGAUGAAGUUGAAGUUGAAGCUGGUGGGGAAUCUGUGGAGGACUCUGCACUUGAAUCUGCUUCUUUAAAGAUCUUCGCGUCUGCUGAAUCUGGUGGAAGGCUCAGUAAAGCUGUGAACAACACAGACCAACAAGACAUAAUAAUACAUCUGGUGUGUUAAUUCAAACUUCAAAGACAAGCAAUACUUAUUCAAA
Long non-coding RNA from Vitis vinifera (wine grape), 858 nucleotides. RefSeq lists it as uncharacterized. Lineage: Eukaryota; Viridiplantae; Streptophyta; Magnoliopsida; Vitales; Vitaceae. The record is from RefSeq and is a predicted model, not a curated record. The transcript has 2 exons.